GCAAACUUGGUCAUUUAGAGGAAGUAAAAGUCGUAACAAGGUCUCCGUAGGUGAACCUGCGGAGGGAUCAUUACAGAGUUGCAAAACUCCAAAACCUCGCGAACAUACCAAUCGUUGCUUCGGCGGGCGGCCCGGGUGGGCCUGCGGCCUGUAAAGGUGCCCGCCGGAGCCCCUGUGAAACUCUGCAGCAAGCGGCCUCUCUGAGUACUACGGAAUACGUCAAAACUUUCAGCAACGGAUCUCUUGGUUCUGGCAUCGAUGAAGAACGCAGC
This 272-nucleotide unclassified non-coding RNA is filed under the name uncultured fungus. Its description in RNAcentral is "partial contains small subunit ribosomal RNA, internal transcribed spacer 1, and 5.8S ribosomal RNA". The stretch from base 1 to 73 matches the Rfam family "Eukaryotic small subunit ribosomal RNA", at positions 1759 to 1831 of the family's 1831-position model. The record is from RNAcentral. Lineage: Eukaryota; Fungi.